Molecule: long non-coding RNA, 456 nt
Filed under: Gossypium barbadense (sea-island cotton)
Lineage: Eukaryota; Viridiplantae; Streptophyta; Magnoliopsida; Malvales; Malvaceae
Description: long non-coding RNA (GBAR_LNC010880)
Source: RNAcentral
CGCAUAAUAGUUCGCAUAACAAUAAAUUAUAAGAGUAUGAACUCAUUCUUGGUAGACUCAUACAAGCGGACCCGUCAGGUACUGAAUCCUAUUUCCUAAAAUGACCCUGAUGGAUUUCUACUUAUACGGUAGUCCUGCCGGAUGUCCUCAUAUAAAAUGAUCUUGACGGACUUCCACAUUGAAAAUAGUCCGGGCGGACUUCCACAUAAAAGAUAGUCCUGAUGAGCUUCCACAUUUACGGUAAUUUCAUGGCCAUGGACUUGCAUUCAUUCAUACGUCCCAUAAAAGGGCUUUCAUAUACUGGUGCACACUGUUCUUCAUACAAUUUAAAAAGGCUCAAUCCAACCGAACCUCCCCCAAAGCCACAGUUAAAUCAAAUGCAUAUGCAAUCUCAUACAUGUCCAUCCAAACCUCCGCAAAGCCACAGUUAUAAAUAUAUGCACAUCAAACACAUGC